Molecule: long non-coding RNA, 233 nt
Filed under: Manihot esculenta (cassava)
Lineage: Eukaryota; Viridiplantae; Streptophyta; Magnoliopsida; Malpighiales; Euphorbiaceae
Description: long non-coding RNA (MESC_LNC005975)
Source: RNAcentral
GCAGGUUCGGCGACACCUUUGGCGGCCGAAACUCCCAGACAGAGGCGAAACUCAUGCAUGUUCAGCGGCACCUUCGGCGGCCGAAAGUCCCAGACAGAGACGAAAGUCUCCUUUCGGGGGCAAGCUUCGGCAGCCGAAGGCUACCUCCAGAAGCAUGUUCGGCGGCCGAAAGUUCCUUCGGCUGCCGAACCUGGUUUCGCCCAGAAUGGCAGAAACUCAGCUCCCCUAUGCAU